CACCGCGGUUACACGGGCAGCUCAAGUUGACAAAGAACGGCGUAAAGAGUGGUUAGGGACUACAGAAACUAAAGACGAAAGACUCCAAGACCGUUGCACGCUGCCUCGGAGCCCUGAAAAUCACCUACGAAAGUGACUUUACAACACCCGACCCCACGAAAGCUGAGGUA
This 170-nucleotide ribosomal RNA is filed under the name Crossorhombus kanekonis. RNAcentral's name for it is "partial 12S rRNA". Lineage: Eukaryota; Metazoa; Chordata; Actinopteri; Pleuronectiformes; Bothidae. The record is from RNAcentral.